This is a long non-coding RNA of Prionailurus viverrinus (fishing cat), 497 nucleotides long. RefSeq lists it as uncharacterized. The record is from RefSeq and is a predicted model, not a curated record. The transcript has 3 exons. NCBI's taxonomy places the organism in Eukaryota, Metazoa, Chordata, Mammalia, Carnivora, Felidae.
CGGGAGAACGCGAUUGCACCUGGACUGCAGAAUGACAGCUCCACAAGGGCAGGAAUUUGCCUGUUUGUCACUGCUGUGCUCCAGGCACCCCGUGAGUUCUCAGAGUCUGUCAAAGAUCAGGGUGUGCGGACAUGACCCAGCUCCCAGGAUCCACAUCAAACAGGCUGCUUAUGAAAACCAUUUUAAAUUAGAAAAGUCACAGAUUCUCUCUUGGAAUCUACCACCGAAGAUACGAAUUGUGCCCAUUUUACAGACAUGGAAAUGGAGGCUCAGAAAGGCGAAGUCCCACGUCUGGGAGAUGCCCCAGCCAGGAUGUGAAGUGGCUGCCCAGAGCCCGCCCGGCAUGCAUGCAUGUCCACAGAGUUGCACGUUUGUGCAAAGCUGUGAGCGUGCACACUGACGCGCGCGUGGGUUGACACGCGCCUGUAUGACAGCGCCCAUCUGUGCCUGCCUCUGCCCUCUCUCUGUGGUCGGGGGCGGGGGCCGGGCACCUGAGG